This 200-nucleotide long non-coding RNA is filed under the name Elaeis guineensis (African oil palm). Its description in RNAcentral is "long non-coding RNA (EGUI_LNC012910)". Lineage: Eukaryota; Viridiplantae; Streptophyta; Magnoliopsida; Arecales; Arecaceae. The record is from RNAcentral.
CUUCGGACACUUCCAUAUAGGAGAGAUCAUAAUAAGUACUGUCUGUACCACCACAACCAUGAUCACGAACUCGAGGAUGAAAUUGAAGACUUCAUCAGGCAUGGUCGUGUUGAUCGCUUCAUUCUGCAAAGGUGGGAGCGGUGAGAGUGGCGAGAAAGGCAAUGGAGGUCUCCUCGAUCGAAUAAGCAGCUGCGGCAGGU